AUCAUGGUUCAGAUUGAACGCUGGCGGCAUGCCUUACACAUGCAAGUCGAACGGCAGCACGGGUGCUUGCACCUGGUGGCGAGUGGCGAACGGGUGAGUAAUACAUCGGAACGUACCUUAUCGUGGGGGAUAACGCAGCGAAAGCUGUGCUAAUACCGCAUACGCCCUGAGGGGGAAAGCGGGGGAUCGCAAGACCUCGCGCGAUUAGAGCGGCCGAUGCCUGAUUAGCUAGUUGGUGGGGUAAAAGCCUACCAAGGCGACGAUCAGUAGCUGGUCUGAGAGGACGAUCAGCCACACUGGGACUGAGACACGGCCCAGACUCCUACGGGAGGCAGCAGUGGGGAAUUUUGGACAAUGGGGGCAACCCUGAUCCAGCAAUGCCGCGUGAGUGAAGAAGGCCUUCGGGUUGUAAAGCUCUUUUGUCAGGGAAGAAACACCGGCUCUAACACAGUCCGGGAAUGACGGUACCUGAAGAAUAAGCACCGGCUAACUACGUG
RNAcentral lists this ribosomal RNA (497 nucleotides) under uncultured bacterium. RNAcentral's name for it is "bacterial SSU rRNA". It matches the Rfam family "Bacterial small subunit ribosomal RNA", at positions 16 to 507 of the family's 1533-position model. The record is from RNAcentral.